Molecule: ribosomal RNA, 274 nt
Filed under: uncultured bacterium
Lineage: Bacteria
Description: partial 16S ribosomal RNA
Rfam family: Bacterial small subunit ribosomal RNA
Source: RNAcentral
AUACGUAGGUCCCGAACGUUGCGCGAAAUUACUGGGCGUAAAGGGUCCGUAGGCGGUCUGGUAAGUGGAAGGUGAAAGCCUGGGGCUCAACUCCAGAGUUGCCUUCCAAACUGCCGGACUUGAGGCAGGGAGAGGUCGGCGGAAUUCCCGGUGUAGCGGUGAAAUGCGUAGAUAUCAGGAGGAACACCAGUGGCGAAGGCGGCCGACUGGAACUGUCCUGACGCUGAGGGACGAAAGCCAGGGGAGCGAACCGGAUUAGAAACCCCAGUAGUCC